This 465-nucleotide ribosomal RNA is filed under the name Vreelandella stevensii. Its description in RNAcentral is "partial 16S ribosomal RNA". It matches the Rfam family "Bacterial small subunit ribosomal RNA", at positions 338 to 795 of the family's 1533-position model. The record is from RNAcentral. Lineage: Bacteria; Pseudomonadati; Pseudomonadota; Gammaproteobacteria; Oceanospirillales; Halomonadaceae.
CCUACGGGGGGCUGCAGUGGGGAAUAUUGGACAAUGGGGGGAACCCUGAUCCAGCCAUGCCGCGUGUGUGAAGAAGGCCCUCGGGUUGUAAAGCACUUUCAGUGAGGAAGAACGCCUGGUGGUUAAUAUCCAUCAGGAAAGACAUCACUCACAGAAGAAGCACCGGCUAACUCCGUGCCAGCAGCCGCGGUAAUACGGAGGGUGCGAGCGUUAAUCGGAAUUACUGGGCGUAAAGCGCGCGUAGGUGGCUUGAUAAGCCGGUUGUGAAAGCCCCGGGCUCAACCUGGGAACGGCAUCCGGAACUGUCCAGCUAGAGUGCAGGAGAGGAAGGUAGAAUUCCCGGUGUAGCGGUGAAAUGCGUAGAGAUCGGGAGGAAUACCAGUGGCGAAGGCGGCCUUCUGGACUGACACUGACACUGAGGUGCGAAAGCGUGGGUAGCAAACAGGAUUAGAUACCCCAGUAGUC